This 594-nucleotide long non-coding RNA is filed under the name Rattus norvegicus (Norway rat). RNAcentral describes it as "long non-coding RNA NONRATT008426". The record is from RNAcentral. Lineage: Eukaryota; Metazoa; Chordata; Mammalia; Rodentia; Muridae.
GAUACUGCAUUGGUUCAUCCACUCUCCAUCCCUUUAAAAAUAGAUGGAGAAACCAUUAUCCCUGUUUGCAGAGUCCCAAACCUGUCAGAUCUUUACAUUCCCCGUCUAUAGGCUUUUCCUGUUGGAUCUGUGUUUUACAAAACUGCCUGGCCAUAGGAACUAUUUGCUUAGGGCCUGGAGAAAGAUGGCUCAGCAGUCAGAAACACUUAACUGCUUUAGCAGGGGACCUGAGUUUGGUUUCCGGUAACCUCACAAUGCUCACAGCUGUCGCUAACUCCAAUCCCAGGGACCCACUGAUCUUGUAGAGCAUCUGGGAGCACGAAUCUCACAUGUAUAUGCCAUAAAAACCACUCAGACACACAAAAUAAAAAUAAAUAUGUUGUUAAAACCCGAAACUGAAAGGAUCUAGAGAGAUGACUCUGUGAUUGCAGGUGCUGGCUACUGUACCUGAGAAGCCACACUCAUUUUCCAGCACAUGGAGCCUCCCCGCUCCAGUUGUAGGGGAUCUGAUACCCUCUUCUGGCCUCUGCAGGUACUGCACACAUGUGGACAGACACGCAGGAAGGCAAAAUACACACAUAAAAAAGGAAAAAA